Molecule: non-coding RNA, 205 nt
Organism: Oryza brachyantha (malo sina)
Lineage: Eukaryota; Viridiplantae; Streptophyta; Magnoliopsida; Poales; Poaceae
Source: Rfam
AAUAACUUUAUUUUUCGUUUUUCCGUGUCCAACGUUUGACCAUUCGUCUUAUUUGAAAAAUUUAUGCAAAAACCAAAAAAACUAGUCACGUAUAAAGUACUAUUCAUAUUUUAUCAUCUAGUAAUAAUAAAAAUAUUAACCGCAAAAAAAUUUCAAAUAAGACGAAUGAUCAAAUAUUGAAAAAAAAAAUAAGGUUAUUAUGGGA